AGUGAACGCUGGCGGUAGGCCUAACACAUGCAAGUCGAACGGCAGCACAGUAAGAGCUUGCUCUUACGGGUGGCGAGUGGCGGACGGGUGAGGAAUACAUCGGAAUCUACUUUUUCGUGGGGGAUAACGUAGGGAAACUUACGCUAAUACCGCAUACGACCUACGGGUGAAAGCAGGGGAUCUUCGGACCUUGCGCGAUUGAAUGAGCCGCUGUCGGAUUAGCUAGUUGGCGGGUUAAAGGCCCACCAAGGCGACGAUCCGUAGCUGGUGUGAGAGGAUGAUCAGCCGCACUGGAGGUGGGACACGGUCCAGAGGCCUACGGGAGGGAGCAGUGUGGUAUGUUGGACAGUGGGGGGAAGCCUGAUCCAGUCAUACCGCGUCGGUGGAGGAGGCGUUGGGGUUGUAAAGCCGGUUUGUUGGGAAAGAAAAGCAGCAGGUUAAGACCCCGCGGUUCUGACGGUACCGAAAGAAUAAGCACCGGCUAACUUCGUG
RNAcentral lists this ribosomal RNA (492 nucleotides) under uncultured bacterium. RNAcentral describes it as "partial 16S ribosomal RNA". It matches the Rfam family "Bacterial small subunit ribosomal RNA", at positions 30 to 507 of the family's 1533-position model. The record is from RNAcentral.